RNAcentral lists this transfer RNA (73 nucleotides) under Camelus bactrianus (Bactrian camel). It matches the Rfam family "tRNA". Rfam says of the family: Transfer RNA (tRNA) molecules are approximately 80 nucleotides in length. Their secondary structure includes four short double-helical elements and three loops (D, anti-codon, and T loops). RNAcentral also lists the same sequence under 1 other name. The record is from Rfam by way of RNAcentral. Lineage: Eukaryota; Metazoa; Chordata; Mammalia; Artiodactyla; Camelidae.
GAGGGUGUAGUUCAAGCGGUAGAGCACAUGCUUAGCGUGCACGAGGUCCUGGGUUCAGUCCCCAGCACCUCCU